Molecule: long non-coding RNA, 601 nt
Organism: Clupea harengus (Atlantic herring)
Lineage: Eukaryota; Metazoa; Chordata; Actinopteri; Clupeiformes; Clupeidae
Source: Ensembl
GAGUGAUCGUCUACUACUAGGUCGAAGUGAUAGUAAUAGUAUCCACGUAACUCCAGAGGUUAUGCCACUGCUGACUGCUGCUGAGUGAUCGUCUACUACUAGGUCGAAGUGAUAGUAUCCACGUAACUCCAGAGGUUAUGCCACUGCUGACUGCUGCUGAGUGAUCGUCUACUACUAGGUCGAAGUGAUAGUAUCCACGUAACUCCAGAGGUUAUGCCACUGCUGACUGCUGCUGAGUGAUCGUCUACUACUAGGUCGAAGUGAUAGUAUCCACGUAACUCCUGAGGUUAUGCCACUGCUGACUGCUGCUGCAGCACAAUCACAUUUACAUGUUCCUGUGGAAAUGCAUCUCUAAUCAGUGUUGCCAUCCUUGCAGUGACAUUGCAUCAUAAUUGGCACAGUUCCUCCCAAUCUCAUACACCUGCAUUACCAAGGUAUAGGGGGUUUAUAUAACAAUAAGGCAGUACUUCCCUGGUCUAAAAUCUUCCCAUUUCACAUCUCUCUGUCACUCUUGUCCUCUUUUACUUGUCUCUAGUGUGUCCCUUAUCUUGUCCUCGUGUUUUCUCCUUCUGUCAUUGUUUUCUGUCAUGCUUCAUCGUCC